RNAcentral lists this ribosomal RNA (490 nucleotides) under uncultured bacterium. Its description in RNAcentral is "partial 16S ribosomal RNA". It matches the Rfam family "Bacterial small subunit ribosomal RNA", at positions 30 to 507 of the family's 1533-position model. The record is from RNAcentral.
AUUGAACGCUGGCGGCAGGCCUAACACAUGCAAGUCGAACGGUAACAGGAAGAAGCUUGCUUCUUUGCUGACGAGUGGCGGACGGGUGAGUAAUGUCUGGGAAACUGCCUGAUGGAGGGGGAUAACUACUGGAAACGGUAGCUAAUACCGCAUAACGUCGCAAGACCAAAGAGGGGGACCUUCGGGCCUUUUGCCAUCGGAUGUGCCCAGAUGGGAUUAGCUAGUAGGUGGGGUAACGGCUCACCUAGGCGACGAUCCCUAGCUGGUCUGAGAGGAUGACCCGCCACACUGGAACUGAGACACGGUCCAGACUCCUACGGGAGGCAGCAGUGGGGAAUAUUGCACAAUGGGCGCAAGCCUGAUGCAGCCAUGCCGCGUGUAUGAAGAAGGCCUUCGGGUUGUAAAGUACUUUCAGCGGGGAGGAAGGGAGUAAAGUUAAUACCUUUGCUCAUUGACGUUACCCGCAGAAGAAGCACCGGCUAACUCCGUG